Canariomyces notabilis is the source of this 83-nucleotide non-coding RNA. The record is from the annotation of a RefSeq genome assembly. NCBI's taxonomy places the organism in Eukaryota, Fungi, Ascomycota, Sordariomycetes, Sordariales, Chaetomiaceae.
GCCCGCUUGGCGCAGCGGUAGUCGCGCGUCACUAGUAAUAUCUAGUAAUGACGAGGUCAUCAGUUCAAAUCUGGUAGUGGGCA